AGACCCGAAACCCGGUGAUCUAGCCAUGGGCAGGUUGAAGGUUGGGUAACACUAACUGGAGGACCGAACCGACUAAUGUUGAAAAAUUAGCGGAUGACCUGUGGCUGGGGGUGAAAGGCCAAUCAAACCGGGAGAUAGCUGGUUCUCCCCGAAAGCUAUUUAGGUAGCGCCUCGUGAAUUCAUCUCCGGGGGUAGAGCACUGUUUCGGCUAGGGGGCCAUCCCGGCUUACCAACCCGAUGCAAACUGCGAAUACCGGAGAAUGUUAUCACGGGAGACACACGGCGGGUGCUAACGUCCGUCGUGAAGAGGGAAACAACCCAGACCGCCAGCUAAGGUCCCAAAGUCAUGGUUAAGUGGGAAACGAUGUGGGAAGGCCCAGACAGCCAGGAUGUUGGCUUAGAAGCAGCCAUCAUUUAAAGAAAGCGUAAUAGCUCACUGGUCGAGUCGGCCUGCGCGGAAGAUGUAACGGGGCUAAACCAUGCACCGAAGCUGCGGCAGCGACGCUGAUGCGUUGUUGGGUAGGGGAGCGUUCUGUAAGCCUGUGAAGGUGGCCUGUGAGGGUUGCUGGAGGUAUCAGAAGUGCGAAUGCUGACAUAAGUAACGAUAAAGCGGGUGAAAAGCCCGCUCGCCGGAAGACCAAGGGUUCCUGUCCAACGUUAAUCGGGGCAGGGUGAGUCGACCCCUAAGGCGAGGCCGAAAGGCGUAGUCGAUGGGAAACGGGUUAAUAUUCCCGUACUUGGUGUUACUGCGAAGGGGGGACGGAGAAGGCUAUGUUGGCCGGGCGACGGUUGUCCCGGUUUAAGCGUGUAGGUGUGUGUUCCAGGUAAAUCCGGUUCACUUUAACACUGAGGCGUGAUGACGAGGCACUACGGUGCUGAAGCAACAAAUGCCCUGCUUCCAGGAAAAGCCUCUAAGCAUCAGGUAACAUCAAAUCGUACCCCAAACCGACACAGGUGGUCAGGUAGAGAAUACCAAGGCGCUUGAGAGAACUCGGGUGAAGGAACUAGGCAAAAUGGUGCCGUAACUUCGGGAGAAGGCACGCUGACACGUAGGUGAAGUGAUUUACUCACGGAGCUGAAGUCAGUCGAAGAUACCAGCUGGCUGCAACUGUUUAUUAAAAACACAGCACUGUGCAAACACGAAAGUGGACGUAUACGGUGUGACGCCUGCCCGGUGCCGGAAGGUUAAUUGAUGGGGUCAGCGCAAGCGAAGCUCCUGAUCGAAGCCCCGGUAAACGGCGGCCGUAACUAUAACGGUCCUAAGGUAGCGAAAUUCCUUGUCGGGUAAGUUCCGACCUGCACGAAUGGCGUAAUGAUGGCCAGGCUGUCUCCACCCGAGACUCAGUGAAAUUGAACUCGCUGUGAAGAUGCAGUGUACCCGCGGCAAGACGGAAAGACCCCGUGAACCUUUACUAUAGCUUGACACUGAACAUUGAGCCUUGAUGUGUAGGAUAGGUGGGAGGCUUUGAAGUGUGGACGCCAGUCUGCAUGGAGCCGACCUUGAAAUACCACCCUUUAAUGUUUGAUGUUCUAACGUGGACCCGUGAUCCGGGUUGCGGACAGUGUCUGGUGGGUAGUUUGACUGGGGCGGUCUCCUCCUAAAGAGUAACGGAGGAGCACGAAGGUUGGCUAAUCCUGGUCGGACAUCAGGAGGUUAGUGCAAUGGCAUAAGCCAGCUUGACUGCGAGCGUGACGGCGCGAGCAGGUGCGAAAGCAGGUCAUAGUGAUCCGGUGGUUCUGAAUGGAAGGGCCAUCGCUCAACGGAUAAAAGGUACUCCGGGGAUAACAGGCUGAUACCGCCCAAGAGUUCAUAUCGACGGCGGUGUUUGGCACCUCGAUGUCGGCUCAUCACAUCCUGGGGCUGAAGUAGGUCCCAAGGGUAUGGCUGUUCGCCAUUUAAAGUGGUACGCGAGCUGGGUUUAGAACGUCGUGAGACAGUUCGGUCCCUAUCUGCCGUGGGCGCUGGAGAACUGAGGGGGGCUGCUCCUAGUACGAGAGGACCGGAGUGGACGCAUCACUGGUGUUCGGGUUGUCAUGCCAAUGGCACUGCCCGGUAGCUAAAUGCGGAAGAGAUAAGUGCUGAAAGCAUCUAAGCACGAAACUUGCCCCGA
Molecule: ribosomal RNA, 2111 nt
Filed under: Salmonella enterica subsp. enterica
Lineage: Bacteria; Pseudomonadati; Pseudomonadota; Gammaproteobacteria; Enterobacterales; Enterobacteriaceae
Also listed under: 1 other name
Description: partial 23S ribosomal RNA
Rfam family: Bacterial large subunit ribosomal RNA
Source: RNAcentral